AGCAGUAGCCGCGGUAAUACGUAGGUGGCAAGCGUUGUCCGGAAUUAUUGGGCGUAAAGGGCUCGCAGGCGGUUUCUUAAGUCUGAUGUGAAAGCCCCCGGCUCAACCGGGGAGGGUCAUUGGAAACUGGGAAACUUGAGUGCAGAAGAGGAGAGUGGAAUUCCACGUGUAGCGGUGAAAUGCGUAGAGAUGUGGAGGAACACCAGUGGCGAAGGCGACUCUCUGGUCUGUAACUGACGCUGAGGAGCGAAAGCGUGGGGAGCGAACAGGAUUAGAUACCCCGGUAGUCCCUGUCUCUUAUAA
RNAcentral lists this ribosomal RNA (303 nucleotides) under uncultured bacterium. RNAcentral's name for it is "partial 16S ribosomal RNA". It matches the Rfam family "Bacterial small subunit ribosomal RNA", at positions 507 to 809 of the family's 1533-position model. The record is from RNAcentral.